GAAAUAUUAAAUAAAAAGCUUCUAACUUUUUUUAAAAUGAUUAAAAUACAUUUAUAUUUCU
Molecule: transfer RNA, 61 nt
Filed under: Nesodiprion zhejiangensis
Lineage: Eukaryota; Metazoa; Arthropoda; Insecta; Hymenoptera; Diprionidae
Also listed under: 1 other name
Description: tRNA-Ser
Source: RNAcentral